Molecule: long non-coding RNA, 8691 nt
Filed under: Panax ginseng (ginseng)
Lineage: Eukaryota; Viridiplantae; Streptophyta; Magnoliopsida; Apiales; Araliaceae
Description: long non-coding RNA (PGIN_LNC006083)
Source: RNAcentral
CCCGAGAUAAGAAAAACUAGGGUUUGACCCAAUACACUCUUCUUCUUGAAAAUUCUUCUUCCUUGGUGGAUCACCUCUAGAAGCCAUACAGGUGGCUUACAUUGAUCAAAUGAAGGAAUCUACCCGGAGAUUCAAGGAGAUCGCGGAGAAGUAAGAAUUAAACUCGUACCUGUGGAAGCUCGUAUCUACAAAGGUAUGAUUACAUAACUUCUUGUUCUUCGUUUUAAUUAACAAUAUGCAUAAAGUAUGUUCCAAUCUAAACAAAUCUGGUAUAAGAUAAUAUAGGCCAAUAAAAUAUUAUUUAAACAAAAUAAACAACAAAGCCAUUACAUGAGUGGUAAUGGGAGGCUUCAGGGAUCUUGGUGGAUAAAAUUCAUCAAGUGGGAUAUCAAAACCCCAUCAAGCCAUAUUCAAAAAAAACUUAGCAUUUAUUUGUAAAAAUGAUGUUAAAAGGUGGGGGGAAAAAAUUAAGAUAUUAAUGGAUGGACAAUGGCAAGAGUCAGAAGUAGCUGGUAAGUAAACAUGGAAGGAAUCCGAUUGAUUUUUUUCAUCAUCCCUGCAAUCAUAUCAUCAUCACAACGUAAUAUAUAUAUAUAUAUAUAUAAUAUUUCUAUGCAUACAUGUAAAUUUGACAAAAAUUAUUACGAUCCAAUUACCCUUUCCAAUUUACACGUGCAUAGUUAUUUAUUCAUAUAUAUAUAUAUAUAUAGACAGGAUCAAAGAGUAGACCUCUUAAGUAGUAGAACUCUCUUAAAUAAUAGAACUUUAUCAAAACGACAUAGUUUUGAUAAGACGCAAUAGCAUUUCUGCCACCGCGUCUUAUCAAAACUACGUCGUUUUGAUAAAAUUCUAUUAUUUAAGGCAUUCUACUAUUUAAGAAUUCUACUCUUGAUCCUUUAUAUAUAUAUAUAUAUAUAUAUAUAACCAACAUAAAAAUAGACCAUAUAAAAUGGCUAUAUCUACCUUGGCACCAAAAAAUCCUAGGAAGAAUAAUUCGGAGCUAAAGGUAGACGCACAUAUAUACAUACACACAAAACAGAAGAAUGAAUAUACAUAUAUAUGUACAUAAAUUAUCAAUUUUGCCUAACGAUAGAUCCCUUCAUCCACUCAUAUAUUUGGACCAAGGAAUUGGAAUAUUAGGCUGACUGGCCGAAUACCAACCGAACCAAAUUAUACACAAGAUAUAACAUAAACGAGAAAGGAAUAACAAAUAGAUCAGUACAAGUAUGAAUCGUCACCUCUGCCUUCGACUUUCUCAAAUUUAAACGACACCAUGAGGGCAUUAUAUAGACAGAAAAAAAGGGGGGUGGGUUACCACUUCCCACAAAUCCUAGCCAUUACUGUUAUGAAGACACAUCCAAGUUAACAUUAUAUAUUGCAAUCUAAACAAAUCUAUGAUAAUAUAGGCCAAUAAAAUGUUAUUUAAACAAAAUAAAUCACAACAAAGCUAUUACAAGAGUGGGAAUGGGAUGCCUCAGAGAUCUUGGUGAAUAAAAUUCAUCAGUAGGGAUAUCAAAACCACAUCAAGAGUAGCAAAUAUCUUUCUUACAUCACAGGUCAUAUACAUAAAAAACUUGAGGCCUUUAGUUGUAAAAAUAAUGUUAAAAGGUGGAAAAUAUAAAGAAAAAAAUUAAGAUAUUAAUGGAUGGACAAUGGCAAGAGUCAAGAAGUAGCUGGUAAGUAAACAUGGAAUAUUCAUUGGGAAUCCGAUUGAUUUUUUUCAUCAUCCCUGCCAUCAUAUCAUCAUCACAUCGUAAUAUAUAUAUAUAUAUAAUAUUUCUAUGCGUACACGUAAAUUGGACAAAAUAAAUAAAAAGAAUUUAUUACGAUCCAAUUACCCUUUCCAAUUUACAUGUGCAUAGAGUUAUUUAUUCAUAUAUAUAUAUAUAACCAAAAUAAAAUAAAAAAUAAAAAAAGAUCAUAUAAAAUGGCUAUAUCUACCUUGUCACCAAAAAAUCCUAGGAAGAAUAAUUCGGAGCUAAAAAUAGACGCACAUAUAUACAUAUACACAAAACAGAAGAAUGAAUAUAAAUAUAUAUGUACAUAAAUUAUCAAUUUUGCCUAACGAUGGAUCCCUUCAUCCACUCAUAUAUUUGGAACAAGGAAUUGCAAUAUUUGGCUAACUGGUCGAAUACCAACCCAACCAAAUUAAACACAAGAUAUAACAUAAACGAGAAAAGAAUAACUAAUAGAUCAGUACAAGUAUGAAUCUUCGCCUCAGCCUACGACUUUCUCAAAUUUACACGACAACAUGAGGGCAUUAUAUAGACAGAAAAAGAAGGGGGUGGGUUACAACUUCCCACAAAUCCUAGCCAUUACUGUUAUAAAGACACAUACAAGUUAACAUUAUAUAUUCCAAUCUAAACAAAUCUAGUAUAUGAUAAUAUAGGCCAAUAAAAUGUUAUUUAAACAAAAUAAAUCACAACAAAGCUAUUACAAGAGUGGGAAUGGGAAGCCACAGAGAUCUUGGUGGAUAAAAUUCAUCAAUUGGGAUAUCAAAACCCCAUCAAGAGUAGCAAAUAUCUUUCUUACAUCACAGGUCAUAUACAUAAAAAACUUGAAAACCUUGAAGCCUUUAGUUGUAAAAAUAAUGUUAAAAGGUGGAAAAUAUAGAGAAAAAAAUUAAGAUAUUAAUGGAUGGACAAUGGCAAGAGUCAGAAGUAGCUGGUAAAGUAAACAUGGAAUAUUCAUUGGGAAUCCGAUUGAUUUUUUUCAUCAUCCCUGCCAUCAUAUCAUCAUCACAUCGUAAUAUAUAUAUAUAUAAUAUUUCUAUGUGUACACGUAAAUUGGACAAAAAUUAUUACGAUCCAAUUACCCUUUCCAAUUUACAUGUGCAAAGAGUUAUUUAUUCAUAUAUAUAUAUAUAUAUAACCAAAAUAAAAUAUAAAAUAAAAAUAGACCAUAUAAAAUGGCUAUAUCUACCUUGUCACCAAAAAAUCCUAGGAAGAAUAAUUCAGAGCUAAAGUUAGACGCACAUAUAUACCUACACACAAAACAGAAGAAUGAAUAUACAUAUAUAUGUACAUAAAUUAUCAAUUUUGCCUAACGAUAGAUCCCUUCAUCCACUCAUAUAUUUGGACCAAGGAAUUGCAAUAUUAGGCUGACUGGCAGAAUACCAACCCAACCAAAUUAUAUACAAGAUAUAACAUAAACGAUAAAGGAAUAAUAAAUAGAUCAGAACAAGUAUGAAUCAUCGCCUCUGCCUUCGACUUUCUCAGAUUUACACGACACCAUAAGGGCAUUAUAUAGACAGAAAAAGAGGAGGGUGGGUUACCACUUCCCACAAACCCUAGCCAUUAUUGUUAUGACAACACAUCCAAGUUAACAUUAUGUAUUCCAAUCUAAACAAAUCUAGUAUAUGAUAAUAUAGGCCAAUAAAAUAUUAUUUAAACAAAAUAAAUCACAACAAAGCCAUUACAGGAGUGGGAAUGGGAGGCCUAAGAGAUCUUGGUGGAUAAAAUUCAUCAAGUGGGAUAUCAAAACCCCAUCAAGAGUAGCAAAUAUCUUUCUUACAUCACAGGCCAUAUACAUAAAAAACUUAAAGCCUUUAUUUGUAAAAAUGAUGUUAAAAGGUGGGGAAAAGAAGAAAAAAAAAUUAAGAUAUUAAUGGAUGGACAAUGGCAAGAGUCAGAAGUAGCUGGUAAGUAAACAUGGAAUAUUCAUUGGGAAUCCGAUUGAUUUUUUUCAUCAUCCCUGCCAUCAUAUCAUCAUCACAUCGUAAUAUAUAUAUAUAUAUAAUAUUUCUAUGCGUACACAUAAAUUGGACAAAAAAAUUAUUACGAUCCAAUUACCCUUUCCAAUUUACAUGUGCAUAGAGUUAUUUAUUCAUAUAUAUAUAACCAAAAUAAAAUAAAAAUAAAAAUAGACCAUAUAAAAUGGCUAUAUCUACCUUGUCACCAAAAAAUCCUAGGAAGAAUAAUUCAGAGCUAAAGGUAGACGCACAUAUAUACAUACACACAAAACAGAAGAAUGAAUAUACAUAUAUAUGUACAUAAAUUAUCAAUUUUGCCUAAAGAUAGAUCCCUUCAUCCACUCAUAUAUUUGGACCAAGGAAUUGCAAUAUUAGGCUGACUGGCAGAAUACCAACCCAACCAAAUUAUAUACAAGAUAUAACAUAAACGAUAAAGGAAUAAUAAAUAGAUCAGAACAAGUAUGAAUCAUCGCCUCUGCCUUCGACUUUCUCAGAUUUACACGACACCAUAAGGGCACUAUAUAGACAGAAAAAGAGGAGGGUGGGUUACCACUUCCGACAAACCCUAGCCAUUAUUGUUAUGACGACACAUCCAAGUUAACAUUAUGUAUUCCAAUCUAAACAAAUCUAGUAUAUGAUAAUAUAGGCCAAUAAAAUAUUAUUUAAACAAAAUAAAUCACAACAAAGCCAUUACAGGAGUGGGAAUGGGAGGCCUCAGAGAUCUUGGUAGAUAAAAUUCAUCAAAUGGGAUAUCAAAACCCCAUCAAGAGUAGCAAAUAUCUUUCUUACAUCACAGGCCAUAUACAUAAAAAACUUGCCUUUAUUUGUAAAAAUGAUGUUAAAAGGUGGGGAAAAGAAAAGAAAAAAAUUAAGAUAUUAAUGGAUGGACAAUGGCAAGAGUCAGAAGUAGCUGGUAAGUGAACAUGGAAUAUUCAUUGGGAAUCCGAUUGAUUUUUUUCAUCAUCCCUGCCAUCAUAUCAUCAUCACAUCGUAAUAUAUAUAUAAUAUUUCUAUGCGUACACGUAAAUUGGACAAAAUAAAUAAAAAGAAUUUAUUACGAUCCAAUUACCCUUUCCAAUUUACAUGUGCAUAGAGUUAUUUAUUCAUAUAUAUAUAUAUAACCAAAAUAAAAUAAAAAAUAAAAAAAGAUCAUAUAAAAUGGCGAUUUCUACCUUGUCACCAAAAAAUCCUAGGAAGAAUAAUUCGGAGCUAAAAAUAGACGCACAUAUAUACAUACACACAAAACAGAAGAAUGAAUAUAAAUAUAUAUGUACAUAAAUUAUUAAUUUUGCCUAACGAUGGAUCCCUUCAUCCACUCAUAUAUUUGGAACAAGGAAUUGCAAUAUUUGGCUAACUGGUCGAAUACCAACCCAACCAAAUUAAACACAAGAUAUAACAUAAACGAGAAAAGAAUAACUAAUAGAUCAGUACAAGUAUGAAUCUUCGCCUCAGCCUACGACUUUCUCAAAUUUACACGACAACAUGAGGGCAUUAUAUAGACAGAAAAAGAAGGGGGUGGGUUACAACUUCCCACAAAUCCUAGCCAUUACUGUUAUAAAGACACAUACAAGUUAACAUUAUAUAUUCCAAUCUAAACAAAUCUAGUAUAUGAUAAUAUAGGCCAAUAAAAUGUUAUUUAAACAAAAUAAAUCAAAACAAAGCUAUUACAAGAGUGGGAAUGGGAAGCCUCAGAAAUCUUGGUGGAUAAAAUUCAUCAAUUGGGAUAUCAAAACCCCAUCAAGAGUAGCAAAUAUCUUUCUUACAUUACAGGUCAUAUACAUAAAAAACAUGAGGCCUUUAGUUGUAAAAAUAAUGUUAAAAGGUGGAAAAUAUAAAGAAAAAAAUUAAGAUAUUAAUGGAUGGACAAUGGCAAGAGUCAGAAGUAGCUGGUAAGUAAACAUGGAAUAUUCAUUGGGAAUCCGAUUGAUUUUUUUCAUCAUCCCUGCCAUCAUAUCAUCAUCACAUCGUAAUAUAUAUAUAUUAUUUCUAUGCGUACACGUAAAUUGGACAAAAAAAUUACUACGAUCCAAUUACCCUUUCCAAUUUACAUGUGCAUAGAGUUAUUUAUUCAUAUAUAUAUAUAUAUAUAUAUAUAACCAAAAUAAAAUAUAAAAUAAAAAUAGACCAUAUAAAAUGGCUAUAUCUACCUUGUCACCAAAAAAUCCUAGGAAGAAUAAUUCAGAGCUAAAGGUAGACGCACAUAUAUACAUACAGACAAAACAGAAGAAUGAAUAUACAUAUAUAUGUACAUAAAUUAUCAAUUUUGCCUAACGAUAGAUCCCUUCAUCCACUCAUAUAUUUGGACCAAGGAAUUGCAAUAUUAGGCUAACUGGCAGAAUACCAACCCAACCAAAUUAUAUAGAAGAUAUAACAUAAACGAGAAAGGAAUAAUAAAUAGAUCAGAACAAGUAUGAAUUGUCGCCUCUGCCUUCGACUUUCUCAGAUUUACACGACACCAUAAGGGCAUUAUAUAGACAGAAAAAGAGGAGGGUGGGUUACCACUUCCCACAAACCCUAGCCAUUACUGUUAUGACAACACAUCCAAGUUAACAUUAUGUAUUCCAAUCUAAACAAAUCUAGUAUAUGAUAAUAUAGGCCAAUAAAAUAUUAUUUAAACAAAAUAAAUCACAACAGAUCCAGUACAGGAGUGGGAAUGGGAGGCCUCAGAGAUCUUGGUGGAUAAAAUUCAUCAAGUGGGAUAUCAAAACCCCAUCAAGAGUAGCAAAUAUCUUUCUUACAUCACAGGCCAUAUACAUAAAAAACUUAAAGCCUUUAAUUGUAAAAAUGAUGUUAAAAGGUGGGGAAAAGAAAAGAAAAAAAUUAAGAUAUUAAUGGAUGGACAAUGGCAAGAGUCAGAAGUAGCUGGUAAGUAAACAUGGAAUAUUCAUUGGGAAUCCGAUUGAUUUUUUUCAUCAUCCCUGCCAUCAUAUAAUCAUCACAUCGUAAUAUAUAUAUAAUAUUUCUAUGCGUACACGUAAAUUGGACAAAAAAAUUAUUACGAUCCAAUUACCCUUUCCAAUUUACAUGUGCAUAGAGUUAUUUAUUCAUAUAUAUAUAACCAAAAUAAAAUAAAAAUAAAAAUAGACCAUAUAAAAUGGCUAUAUCUACCUUGUCACCAAAAAAUCCUAGGAAGAAUAAUUCAGAGCUAAAGGUAGACGCACAUAUAUACAUACACACAAAACAGAAGAAGGAAUAUACAUAUAUAUGUACAUAAAUUAUCAAUUUUGCCUAACGAUAGAUCCCUUCAUCCACUCAUAUAUUUGGACCAAGGAAUUGCAAUAUUAGGCUAACUGGCAGAAUACCAACCCAACCAAAUUAUAUACAAGAUAUAACAUAAACGAGAAAGGAAUAAUAAAUAGAUCAGAACAAGUAUGAAUCGUCGCUUCUGCCUUCGACUUUCUCAGAUUUACACGACACCAUUAGGGCAUUAUAUAGACAGAAAAAGAGGAGGGUGGGUUACCACUUCCCACAAUCCCUAGCCAUUAUUGUUAUGACGACACAUCCAAGUUAACAUUAUGUAUUCCAAUCUAAACAAAUCUAGUAUAUGAUAAUAUAGGCCAAUAAAAUAUUAUUUAAACAAAAUAAAUCACAACAAAGCCAUUACUGGAGUGGGAAUGGGAGGCCUCGGAGAUCUUGGUGGAUAAAAUUCAUCAAGUGGGAUAUCAAAACCCCAUCAAGAGUAGCAAAUAUCUUUCUUACAUCACAGGCCAUGUACAAAAAAAAAAACUUAAAGCCUUUACUUGUAAAAAUGAUGUUAAAAGGUGGGAAAAAAAGAAAAAAUUUAAGAAAUUAAUGGAUGGACAAUGGCAAGAGUCAGAAGUAGCUGGUAAGUAAACAUGGAAUAUUCAUUGGGAAUCCGAUUGAUUUUUUUCAUCAUCCCUGCCAUCAUAUCAUCAUCACAUCGUAAUAUAUAUAUAUAUAUAAUAUUUCUAUGCGUACACAUAAAUUGGACAAAAAAAUUAUUACGAUCCAAUUACCCUUUCCAAUUUACAUGUGCAUAGAGUUAUUUAUUCAUAUAUAUAUAUAUAUAUAUAUAUAUAUAACCAAAAUAAAAUAAAAAAUAAAAAUAGACCAUAUAAAAUGGCUAUAUCUACCUUGUCACCAAAAAAUCCUAGGAAGAAUAAUUUAGAGCUAAAGGUAGACGCACAUAUAUACAUACACACAAAACAGAAGAAGGAAUAUACAUAUAUAUGUACAUAAAUUAUCAAUUUUGCCUAACGAUAGAUCCCUUCAUCCACUCAUAUAUUUGGACCAAGGGAUUGCAAUAUUAGGCUGACUGGCAGAACACCAACCCAACCAAAUUAUAUACAAGAUAUAACAUAAACGAUAAAGGAAUAAUAAAUAGAUCAGAACAAGUAUGAAUCGUCGCCUCUGCCUUCGACUUUCUCAGAUUUACACGACACCAUAAGGGCAUUAUAUAGACAGAAAAAGAGGAGGGUGGGUUACCACUUCCCACAAACCCUAGCCAUUACUGUUAUGACGACACAUCCAAGUUAACAUUAUGUAUUCCAAUCUAAACAAAUCUAGUAUAUGAUAAUAUAGGCCAAUAAAAUGUUAUUUAAACAAAAUAAAUCACAACAAAGCCAUUACGAGUGGGAAUAUGAGGCCUCAGAGAUCUUGCUGGAUAAAAUUCAUCAAGUGGGAUGUCAAAACCCCAUCAAGAGUAGCAAAUAUCUUUCUUACAUCACAGGUCUUAUUUGUAAAAAACUUAAAGCCUUUAUUUGUAUCUCACCAUCUGUCUGUGUAUUGCUGUUGCCUGUUGGAAUGAUAACAGAAGGGGAAUAUUCCCUUUUGACUGAUAAAAGAAGGGGAGUAUAUAUAUAAAUGAUCUGUAAAAACUAGAAAGACUUGAAUUAGAAUAUGCCAAAAGCAUAUUCCCUGUUGAAUAUAAUAAUAUAAUAAAAGAAGGAACGUAUGUAUCUAGAUGUUCAAAUUUUUGUACAGGUUUAGUUUUUUUUAGAUAAAUUGAUUAAUUUUACAUAUUUACUAAAUUAAAUAUU